Molecule: ribosomal RNA, 862 nt
Filed under: uncultured Acidobacteriota bacterium
Lineage: Bacteria; Pseudomonadati; Acidobacteriota
Description: bacterial SSU rRNA
Rfam family: Bacterial small subunit ribosomal RNA
Source: RNAcentral
UGCAAGUCGAACGCGAAAGUCCCGCAAGGGAUCAGUAGAGUGGCAAACGGGUGAGUAACACGUGGGUGACCUGCCUUCGAGUGGGGGAUAACGUCCCGAAAGGGACGCUAAUACCGCAUGACAUCCUGCUCUUGAACGAGUGGAGAUCAAAGCUGGGGAUCGCAAGACCUAGCGCUCAAAGAGGGGCCCGCGCCUGAUUAGCUAGUUGGUGGGGUAACGGCUCACCAAGGCGACGAUCAGUAUCCGGCCUGAGAGGGCGGACGGACACACUGGGACUGAGACACGGCCCAGACUCCUACGGGAGGCAGCAGUGGGGAAUUGUUCGCAAUGGGCGCAAGCCUGACGACGCAACGCCGCGUGGAGGAUGAAGACCUUCGGGUCGUAAACUCCUUUCGAUCGAGACGAACGGCCUCCGGGUGAACAGUCCGGAGGAGUGACGGUACCGAGAGAAGAAGCCCCGGCUAACUCCGUGCCAGCAGCCGCGGUAAUACGGGGGGGGCAAGCGUUGUUCGGAAUUACUGGGCGUAAAGGGCUCGUAGGCGGCCAACUAAGUCAGACGUGAAAUCCCUCGGCUUAACCGGGGAACUGCGUCUGAUACUGGAUGGCUAGAGGUUGGGAGAGGGAUGCGGAAUUCCAGGUGUAGCGGUGAAAUGCGUAGAUAUCUGGAGGAACACCGGUGGCGAAGGCGGCAUCCUGGACCAAUUCUGACGCUGAGGAGCGAAAGCCAGGGGAGCAAACGGGAUUAGAUACCCCGGUAGUCCUGGCCCUAAACGAUGAAUGCUUGGUGUGGCGGGUAUCGAUCCCUGCCGUGCCGAAGCUAACGCAUUAAGCAUUCCGCCUGGGGAGUACGGUCGCAAGGCUG